GAGGAGGGAAGAGAGAAAAAAACUAGAAAUGGAUUCUUUUUGUGAAUAAAAUUCUAUGGUCAUAGUAUAACCAUUACAAUGCUAUGUUUGUCAUUUUAAUGUAAUAUAGAAUUGAGUUUGAUUAUAUUUUUCCUUCUUAUUAAUUAUUACAUCCAUUGUUUUAAUUAAUGAAGUUGAUUAUCUUAAUAUAUAAUUGAGUUGAAUUUUCCCUUCUUCUUAUUAAUUAUUACAUCCAUGGUUCAAUUGAUUCUCACUUAGGGCAAUAUAGAAUUGGUUUUU
RNAcentral lists this long non-coding RNA (279 nucleotides) under Setaria viridis. Its description in RNAcentral is "long non-coding RNA (SVIR_LNC000020)". The record is from RNAcentral. Lineage: Eukaryota; Viridiplantae; Streptophyta; Magnoliopsida; Poales; Poaceae.